Molecule: RNA transcript, 8268 nt
Organism: Cryptomeria japonica (Japanese cedar)
Lineage: Eukaryota; Viridiplantae; Streptophyta; Pinopsida; Cupressales; Cupressaceae
Gene name: 2-methyl-6-phytyl-1,4-hydroquinone methyltransferase, chloroplastic
Exons: 7
Source: RefSeq, a predicted model, not a curated record
AAGGUGCAGAUUCAUUCUGAUUGCAUGGAUACUGUUCCAUUUCAUUUAAUAUUUUAAUCAUUUCAUUCAUUCUUAUAUAUCCUCCCAGCUAACAAUAAACGGCUAUGAUUUUAUAGAAAUUCGAGAUAAAUCAGAAGUUUUAAUGAUGGACCACCUGUCCUCCUAUAUACCUGGCACAUCUGAAAUAUUUAUCAUUCAUUCAUUUAUUCACCGAACAAAAUUAACGACUCUGACUUAAGAAUAUAAAUAUCGCCCUUGUAAUAAUGAUUCUAUGUCUUAGGGGCUAAGGUCUGGUGUGAUUGUUUUUAGCCUUUAUCUGCCUGUAGCGGAGGCAUCUAAAUUAAACAGUGAUUAAUCCAUCUUCCCUCAACCAAUCAAACUGCCCGAAUUCCUGGAUUAAAUUUCGUUUCUAAUAUAUGAUAUGUACAACUUGCAUGUUUUUUAAGGGAAAUUUUGUUGCAAAUAUUUUUGUUGGCCUGUGAUUGGUAGUGUAGAUGGGUGUCAGAUGAAUUCACAAAUAUCAACGCAAGAGAAAGCACGAGAAACUAUGACGUUGUCAUUGUAUUGCAGGGUUAAUAAUAUUAAAAUAGCUUAAAACAAUUGAAUAAAGGGGUUCUGAGCGCCAGAUGGCAUUCGCUGACAAUCCAGAUGCCUUAACUGUUCUUAGACAUCUUACAAUCUCGUUUAGCGUGGUAAAUGCAGAGAAAAUAUGGAAAUACAGAGUUAUGUGCUCUUUCAGAGCCUCUUGCAUAUAUUUUCCUAUUCUGCUCUCUUCAUCACAUAGGGAGAAAAACUAAAUUACUUUUUCCCAUUUAGGAUUUGGAUUUAGCCCAGGGUUUAGUAACCAGUUCAAAUGGAACUUUUUGGAUCUAGCUGCAAGAGGCCCUAUGGCGAGAAUUAUUUGCAAAAGAUUGGUUGUGCCCCAUGCUGACAGGAACAGAUUCAAGCCCUUCGGUGCAACACCAGGUACUCUCUAAUUCCUAUAAAAUUUAUUUUUUCUUUGAUUGAUUUGAGAUUGGUAAGAGACUAAGACAUUAUAAAUCCACAAACCGAGAUCAGGUCUUUUGAAUAGAAGAUCAUAUUUAUUUUAGCUGAAUUUAUUUUAUACGCAUGGCUAUAUAAGGGUAGUAUAUUAAAGAGCUGCCUUCAGGAAUAUAGAAUAGAUUUUGUCUUUUUUUUUGUUUUCUUUUUCACAUAGAUUUGAGAUGGCAAUAUAAUAGUGGACUACCCACAAGAAGCAUGAACUUAGAGACACCAUUUUGUAGAUGCCCAUAUCCUGUUUCAAACCUCCAUGCGAUGCCAUCAGACCACAUUUCGGUCACAUCCUUAUCUAUUUUUCCACAUUUUUCGUUCAUUUUUAUAUAUGACGCGGGCUGAGAAACAAUGACUCCACUCUUACCGCAGGUGCUAUUUCCAACAGAAGGAGAAUUUCUUGGGUGACGAAGUAUAAAGUAUAGCAGACAAAUUAGUUUGGGACUCUCACCCAAGCCUCCACUUGCAGAAUCCAUUUUUAUAAUGGUGAAGAGAUUUACGCCCCUUUCAAGAGCCUCCUUCCCAUGGAUCUGAAUUAAGAGUUGAGAAUGAAUUUUGGAAGAAGAUUCACAACAUUAGAUGUAUUUCCUCCAGUUCUCAAUUAUAAAUCAAAGCCCCCUAUAUUGUUUGAUGGAAUCACAAGACUCUAUACUUGGGCUGCCAGAAAUUACAAGGGUUUGUACGAUAUUUAGCUAGUCACAAGAGAUCUGCAUGAGAAGUUUGCUUGGUACAAGGAAAAAGUUUAUCCUCCUGGUUCGCUUCACAUUGAGCUAUUUUAUCCAUCAAGUUAUGGAUUGGUAUUUUCGUGGGCUGAGAAUAUAGUUGUACUUCAAAACCAAAAAGAAUGGAUGAGAUUAGUAGCAGCAGUUACAUUUCUUUUGGUUGUAUUAUUUAUCUUUUCUAUUGUGCAUUUCUUAUAUCUUGGAAGGUACAAAGUAUGCAUGUGUUUCUCUUUGAUAUUAAUCAUAAGAAAUGGCUCCUGAUGCAGGUGGACAAGCACAACAUUUACAUUUCUUUUGCCUGUACUAUCCAUCUUUUUUGUUGUGCAUUUCUUAUUUCUUGGAAGGUAUAAAGCAUGCAUGUGUUUCUGUUAACCUGUUGUUUCAUUGUCUAAAGACUAGGUAAUAGAUACAAAACCUUUUGCAAAUGAACGGUCAUAUGAAGAGAUAAAUUUGAUUUUUUUGCUGAUAAAAAUACAUCUUUAAUUGAAUUAAAUGCAAAUCAUAGUGUUUUUGAAGGACUAAGACAAUAGAAAUUUCCAUUGAAGGAGCAAGGAGCAGUUUGAAUCCAAGCAACCUAUUGUACUUGGUGUGUUACUGCAUUAAAUAUAGGCAGUAUGCUAUUUGGUGAUUGGUAUAAAACCUGUCAUAGAGUUUCUCUAUAGCCAAGGUUGAACUUUGGUGUCUUAGUAAAUGCGGCUCAGGAUUCGAGCCUUGAGCUUCAAAAGGGAGAGCUUUGGGUGCUAGGAAUUGUAGUACAUCUCACAUUCUGAUUAUUUGCAAAAACUUGCCCUUAUCCCAUAAUCUUUAAUAUAUUUUCUUACGCAAUAGCUCAUUUUAGUUGGAAUCCAAUUUAUUUGUCAUGGCUUAUUUGAUUGGAAGCUAACUACCAAAUACAAUGCAUUUUAUUGAUAAGGGUUAAAUUUAUGGGUAAACUUUACCUGUCAAAUAAUUAAUAAUUUUUUUAUGAUGUUUCCAUUCAAAUACUAAGCUUUUUGUAUAGAUAUAUAAGUGAAAGUCAAUCGGUUACUAUAUAGACAUCUAAAAAUUAGACUGCUUACGCCUACUUGCACAAUCUAAAAUUUGUGUUUGCACUAAAUAACUGAUUUCUAUUUUAGUUAAUGUCCAUAUUGUUAAUUUUACAGGUUUUUGAAUACAAAAGCUCCAUAAAGAAACUGAUUCCAAAAAAGAAAAUGAAAUCACGCAAUUGAUUACCACUGUUCUAGUUUUGUCUUCAAAAUGUAUAGCAUAGUUAAUAGUUAAAAGGCAAAUAAUGUUCAACCCAUUCCAAUUUAUUUGUCAUGGCUUAUUUGAUUGGAAGCUAACUACCAAAUACAAUGCAUUUUAUUGAUAAGGGUUAAAUUUAUGGGUAAACUUUACCUGUCAAUUAAUUUUUUUAUGAUGUUUCCAUUUAAAUGCUAAGCUUUUUGUACAGAUAUAUAAGUGAAAGUCCAUUGGUUACUAUAUAAACAUCUAAAAAUUAGACUGCUUAUGCCUACUUGCACAAUCUAAAAUUUGUGUUUGCACUAAAUAACUAGUUUUUGUUUUAGUUAAUCUUCAUAUUGUUAAGUUUACAGGUUUUUGAAUACAAAAGCUCCAUAAAGAAACUGAUUCCAAAAAAGCAAAUGAAAUCACACAAUUGAUUACCAUUGUUCUAGUUUUGUCUUCAAAAUGUAUAGCAUAGUUAAUAGUUAAAAGCUAAGUCACAAGGUUCGAAUUUGAAUUCAAAUUCGAUAGCCAUGAAAUUCGGAUGAAAUUCGACAAGAGAAAAAUUCGAAAAAAAAUUCGGAUAAAAUUCACCUUCUAUAAUUUUGUUUAUUUUUAAAUAUAUGUAUACUUCAAAUAAAUUAUCAGAAUAGUGACCCUUGUUGGAGAAAAUCCGAGGGCGACCCAGCAGUUGCAGACACCCAUGACCCAAUAGAUACAAAGAAUACCCACAACCAGCUGAGUUGUGUUUAGAGGCAGAUAGCAGUGCUUUAUAGAGGAAAUUCGAUUAAAUUCGAUUUUUUUUAUAGAAGUUUGAAAUUCGAUUAAAUUCAAACCUCAUCCAUGAAAAUCGUCGUAUCCUGUGACUUAGGUUAAAAGGCAAAUAAUGUUCAACCCAUAUAAAUCAGUUAACAAUGUGGGUCUUAUCAAACACAUUGUAUCUAGUAAAUUUUGUGUAUAUGUAUUGAGUAGAUAUUGCAUAUGCUACUAUCUGCCAUCUUCCCCAUUGAUUCUGAUAGUUGCAUUUAUAAAAUAAAAAUCUUUUUGAUCUUCCUACUACUGCACCAAAUCAAACAACUACAGUUCCUACCAUUGCUCUGCAGGAACUUCGUUGCUUGCAGUGCUUGUUAUUAUUAGUUCCUUUGGUAAGGUUGUGUGUUAAACAGUGAAUAAAAAUAUGUUUGCUUGAUCAAUAGGGUGGCUUGAUUUAUUCGAUGGCAAGGAUAUGCUAGGUUUAAUCCUCUAUUAGGCAAAGGAAUGUGCUCGUGUUUUAAUGAUUGCCUGUAAGGUAGAAGCGUUGGUAGGCUGUAGAUGGUGGAUAGGAAGGCAUUGCAAACCCCGAUGCAGGAGAACGCUCAGAUACAGAGGAAGGAGGCGAAAACAAGAUCUCAGAAAGCGUGUGGGUGUCUGAAAGCGAGAGCCUCAUAAAAAUGAAGUGCAAUGGGAGGAACGAGGUCUACGCACAGAUGUCUAUUAGGGCUUUUGUUUUGGGCAUGCAGGCUAGAGGACCUGUUGUUGCGCAAGUGGGAGAUGACAGUAUAAAAUAAUAGUAAUAAACGCAUGAUGCGAAAUUUCUUUUUAGCAUUGAGUGGUUUUGGAGCGGACAUGGCCUCGUUUUCACCUUCAGAGAUUCUGCAGGAAACAUUGCUUUGUUCUACUAGAGGUUUGUUUUCCUGUGUUUACGCCUGGGCCUUUUACAGAACCCGUUGAGAAGAAUGUGUGUGGAUUGUUUUUUAUCUUUGCAAAGUUUCAGAAAAUAGGUUUUUUUUUUUCUUUUUGCCCGUGUCUGCAUAUUUUAUUCCUUUAAAUGGUUUCCAAACUUUUCUUUCGGUAUAUUCUAACAUUUUCCUUUGCAUAGGAUUCACCACAUGUCAACCAUUAAAUCAUUUUCACCUUCAGAGAUUCGGCAAUGAAAACAGAUUUACAGUUAGUUUAAAAUUUUUGAGCUAAUGCUAACUCAAUAGACAAACAUUAGCAUUCAUCUUUUCUUGAAGUUAGAAAGUUUUCUGAGAGAACUGGCUUCUUCAGGGCUACAACAGUCCAUGAUCCAACAUUCCUCUCUGGCAUCUCCUCAAACAGUUUUCUCGCUCCCCCAUUUAGUCCAUUUUGUGCAUACCCUGCAAUCAUGGUAUUCCAGGAAGUCAAAUCUCGUAGAGGCAUCUUCCCAAAAAGCUCUUCUGCCUCAUCCAAACACCCAUCCUAUAAAAACAACACAACUAACUUAGCCUCCAGGGUAGACCAUAGGCAAAAAUUAAUGAACUUAUUGCUGCUUGUACUUUGCAUAUACCAUCAUUGUAGAUUCCACCCUACGUUAUGCACGAGGCCGUUGUCUCUGGUUUGUCAAGGGCUCCACUUUGGCAUAUAUAUCUCACCCAAGAAACUGCAUAAAGGCAACUUCCUCCUCUUCAAAGGAACCCAUGAAGGAAAUGCAUUUCAUGGGAUCUGGAAGAAACUGCAUAAAGGCAACUUCCUCCUCUUCAGAGGAACCCAUGAAGGAAAUGCAUUUCAUGGGAUCUAGACGAACAGGUUUCAUCCAUGUCUUCAAGAUCAACAUUGCAUUUUCUAGCUUUUACAGUACUCCUCUUACUGUCUAUUUCCACCCCCCAAAAAACUUUUCCAGAUUCAUAAAGGACACUGUGUUAGUAAAAUUGUUUUGUUUUACAUUAGUUACAGACAUAAGCACCGAUGGCUCUCUCCAUCCAAUAGAUUAAAUUAUUGUUUUUCAUGUGUUGUUUUCGUCCUAUUGAUGUUGAUAAUGCUUUAUCCUUCAUGACAUACCUUGCUUCACCAUGUUCUAUAUACUCACGUCUUCUAGGUGCUUGAACAGAAGCUGUGUGACUGGAAGAUGUUGCAUGUUGUUUGGUUUUCAUACUAGAUGGUGUUGUUUCCAACUUUGACUUAAGCAUUUUAGAUGAGCAUAGAACAAACAUUUCAAACUCAAGAGUUAGGAGCGACUUAUGUAAAGACCACCCUGCCACAAAGAUUAAAAGGCUACUAUGAAACCUAUUGAAAGACUAAGAGAACAUUCUCCUUUCUUUUCAAUUUUAAUAUUUUACUCCAUUGGCCUCAUUCUAUUUGACUCUAUAGUCAUCAUGUUUCUAUAACUAUCAUACAAGAAUGUUUGACUUGCAAGGGCUGUCAUAAAUAAAUUGAAAGCAUUGAUAUUAGUGCUGAGUAACCCUGUUGCUUGUAAGGCCCCUACCAUGUGUAUCAAACUGUGAUUUAGUUGUCUUUCUAGCCUUUUUUCAAUACCCUGUAUGAUAUAUCUUCGAUCAUUAUGAUCCACAGUCACUAUGAUCUUUCUACGAUCAUUGUAGUCCAGAAGAACUUAUUUUCCUCGGGCAUUCUAUUAAACGGUUCCAUAGCCUACUCAACCAACUCAUUCUGUGUACAUGCCAUAACCAUAACAAUCCACAAUCCAAAUUUCAUUUGUGGCAUUUCCUCAAAUAGUUUUCUAGCUUCCUAAAAGGAUUCCACAGUCAAGGCUUCAAAUUGACAAUCCUAGCUUUUUGUUCCAUCAUUUGAAAUGUAACCUUGUUAUCUAAUAAUAUUGUUAUAUGAGGAUCUACUCAUAUUAGACUCAAUUAUUUUGCAUACAAAGGCUUUUGCUUCCAGCUCAUUGAAUCAAGUCUUAUUAUCUAUACUUCAGUGUCACAAACAUCCUAGCAAAAACUGAUUGUUCAACCAUUAAACAGAAACCAGAUCAACGAUUAACAGAACUUGCCUCCUAGGGUGCACUAACUGCAAUUGCAUAUAAAAAGCCUCAUCUUUUUGUGAAGAAUAAUUCUUCUGCAUUGGAUUCAUGGGUGGAUGCCUGACUAUGUCAAAAUGGUACGCCCUAAAUCAAUUUUUUAGUAUAACAAGGCAAGUUCUUAAAUGGUCUCCAAAUCAUUUGUACAUUAUGCAAGCUUAGCCUUCUUUUUGCUUAGCAUGUUCGAUGUUAUUUAAUAUGAAUGGUGACUAUAGGGUUGUGCUAGCAUUUGGAAUACAAAUCAAGCAAUAGCAUUCAUAUCCAUUCCAGUUCGACUUAUUUGGAUUUAAUGAAGAAGAAUCUGAUUGGGAAACUGCUACUCUAUUAUUCUUAAAGUUUUACUGGUUAAAGCUUUUGACUUAGACUCAAUUUCUACUUUUUCUCAUAAUUUCAUUGGAAAAAGGUAAAACUGUUUGUCUGCUUUCAGUUUUUGACUAUGAAUAUGUGGAGUUGGUGAAAGAAUCAUCUGUGGGACCAUCUGUCCUAAAGCUCCGCGGUAAAGAAAUCAUGUGGAAUCAUGUUAAGUAGACCCAGUGACUUAAUAAUUUUCUCCAACAGGCAAUAUUCCUUAAUAAUUCUCUGCAAUUACUCAGUUAAUUCAUAUGUGGAGUUGGUGAAAGAAUCAUCUGUGGGACCAUCUGUCAUAAAGCUCCGCAGUAAAGAAAUCAUGUGGAAUCAUGUUAAGUAGACCCAGCGACUUAAUAAUUUUCUCCAACAGGCAAUAUUCCUUAAUAAUUCUCUGCAAUUACUCAGUUAAUUCUCUUUGCUUGAUGAUUAACUCAACAUAACUUCAAUGCCUAACAAAACAUGACAAAGACAAGAGGCAGAAUAUUAUGCCGUGACAACUGUAUAGGGAGCCCACACAUUUUCAAAGCUUUUUAAUUGAUUAUGUAUACUCCUUGGAAUCUUGAACUUGCCUAUCACUUUGUAGAUCUUUUGGAAUCAUUAAGUUUCAGAAAGAGACGAAUUCACUAUGAAACAACACCUUGUGAGCCAAUAUUUUUUAGAAUCCAUUAAUCACAUUUUAAAUUAUUGGUUAAACAGUCUUAGUCUGGACCGUAUGGGUGGAAAAAAAUGUAUAUAAUUAAUGCCAAUGCACCCCAAAAUUCAUAGCUAAAUAUUCUGAAUUGUGUGACUUGAACCUAUGUAAUAAUAUGUGAGACCGCGAAGAAAAAGGUCAGUAGGUAACAAAAAAUGAGGAAGCAAUUUGGAAUGUAAAACUUUUGAGAUUUCUUUUCUUUUCUUGUCAUACUUAGUUGCAAUUGAUUGUUGUAUGGUCACAAGCUUCACAUCAUAUUUCCAUUUACAUAUGUUUUGAUAAAUUUAUGUUCUCUCCACUUCUCAUUCCUAGUAUUUAUGUAUUUAUGUUCUCUCCACUUCUCAUUCCCCGUAUUUAUGUAUUUUUUCAAAAAAAUUCUCAUUGAUUUUAGUAUAAACUUAGAGCCAUCUAUAACCUCUGGUUUCCCCUAUAUAGGUUUGAUUAUACUUUGUUCUUGAUUGAAAUUCAUUGUAAUGGAACUUUUUCAAGUCACAUAUUUAGUUGAUUUGACAGGUGUUGAA